AGCAGUAGCCGCGGGAAUACGGAGGGGGCUAGCGUUGUUCGGAAUUACUGGGCGUAAAGCGCACGUAGGCGGCUUUGUAAGUUAGAGGUGAAAGCCUGGGGCUCAACUCCAGAAUUGCCUUUAAGACUGCAUCGCUUGAACGUCGGAGAGGUGAGUGGAAUUCCGAGUGUAGAGGUGAAAUUCGUAGAUAUUCGGAAGAACAUCAGUGGCGAAGGCGGCCAUCUGGGACAACACUGACGCUGAAGCACGAAAGCGUGGGGAGCAAACAGGAUUAGAUACCCCCGUAGUCCCUGUCUCUUAUAC
Molecule: ribosomal RNA, 303 nt
Filed under: uncultured bacterium
Lineage: Bacteria
Description: partial 16S ribosomal RNA
Rfam family: Bacterial small subunit ribosomal RNA
Source: RNAcentral